Molecule: long non-coding RNA, 1630 nt
Organism: Octopus bimaculoides (California two-spot octopus)
Lineage: Eukaryota; Metazoa; Mollusca; Cephalopoda; Octopoda; Octopodidae
Source: RefSeq, a predicted model, not a curated record
UUGUUGCAUGGGCGAUAUUAGACGCAGAACUGUGGGCGUUUGUACCGGUGGAAUCGAUAACCAAACGAAAUUCGUUGAAAUAACAAGCCUUGGGCAAUCACCACCAACAAUGCCACCGCCAUAAGGAAACUACCAAGAACACCUGUUCGCAACAAUACCCGAAAAUCAUCAAUCAUUUGUUUGUUACGACUACACCGAUGGAGUCUAAUGAUGGAGUCUCUACGUGUGGCCUUGCCGCAUGUUAGAAAUAGCAGCCAAAUCGCUUUAAAUCAUACUCUACCUUUAGGACUAAACGAUAACGACUUACACUCGAACACACGCCGGAUAAGGUGACCUUGUUUCCUUGUUCAUAGGAAAAAGUCAGGAUAGCCACGGCUGGAAUACUUAUGAUCGUAGAUCUGUUUGACCAGGAUCGACCUGGGGUUAAAUAACAAUAACGAUGAUCACUACUGCAUCGUUGACUUCAACAAACAGCAUUGUUAACAUCAGUAUUACAACCACCACCACCAUUACUACCACCGCAACAACAACAUUAACUAACACCACUGCCAACUUUGCUGGCUCUGAUUGAGCAGACUUAUCAGAAACGUUCCAUCCACGACAGUCCCGCAGGAUUACAUUAUAGAACGUGUUCUGUCUUUUUCAAAAUGGUAAGGUGUGAUUUGAAGGAAUUUGGCUGCUAUUUCUUGCAAGUCGAAAUUUCCUUCUUCAGCUCGUAAAAAUGAAAACCAGCACCACCACCACUGCGACUACUACCACCACCACCACUGCUACAACUAGAGUCGCUGCUGCUACUACUACGACCUUAACAGCAACAACGAGAACACCACCAAUAAGCAUCACCACUGCAUCACCAAAAAUACCAUUGAUCCCUCAACUGCCUCUACUACGAAAAUAAAAUUCGUAGCCACCAUCAACCUCAACCAUCCAUCGUUGUGAUCAUCGCCACCACCACCACCAACAGCAACUCAUUGAGAUCGUCAUUAAAUGUUACGGUCAGAUCAACAACACGAGCCAAUCACCCCCUCCGCCGCCACUAACACCAUCGCCACCAAAUUGUAAGACCACCGAUCAGACCACCGCCAACACCAGUGCAUUGAACUUGUCGUAACAGAUGAAGAAUCGUUAUUCUCAUAAUUAAGAUUGGCUGAAUGAAUCUGAAUCAGAGGCAUCAUUAGACGAAGCAGCUUCCAUUAAAUGAAGUUCAGAUUUUUAAACAAAUUCCAGUCACUUAUCAAAAUCAAGUAAAAAAAAGAAUACAAAUUAAAAAAUAUAUAUAUUGUAUGUUAUGAGCAGCAAGAGAUUUGGUUGUUAUUUCUAGCAUUUCGAACGACCACAUAGUGGCUUUCUCAGUUCUUGCAGAAGAGAAGAAAUAGAAGAGAAGGAGAAGGAGAAUAAAAGAAACAAAAAGGAAGUGGGGAGAAAGGAGAGGAGGAGGAGGAGAUGACUGUGAAAAUGAAAUAUUGGUAACAAAGAUAAAAAACCCCACAUAAAAAAGAAUAAAAUUUUUAAAAAAUGCAAAACUCAAAUAAACAAAUAAAUAAAUAUGAGCAGACAAACAAAUAUAAAAAAAAAAAAAAGGAGAGAGAAAAUGGUGAAUGGUAAAAAUAUGGAACAAGCACCCUGAAAG